GUAAAAAAACAAAGAAAAACAAGUUACCUGCGCUCUCUCCUUAAUCCCUAUGUAUUUUUAAACAAAUGGAGGUUGUGUACUGUAGUAACUAAAGGAGGUAACUAAAAAAUCUCCAUUUGUUUAAAAAUACAGAGGGAUUAAGGAGAGAGCGCAGGUAACUUGUUUUUCUUUGGUUUUUAC
Pelobates cultripes (western spadefoot toad) is the source of this 180-nucleotide non-coding RNA. NCBI's taxonomy places the organism in Eukaryota, Metazoa, Chordata, Amphibia, Anura, Pelobatidae. The record is from the annotation of a GenBank genome assembly.